AAGGAAGGAAGACCCGCUGGAAAGAGCCCAGGGGUGGGAAGAAGAAGACCUUUUCGUUUCAGUGGCUGAGCGUCCCGGCCCUGCUUCUCGGGACCUGUGUCACCUUGAGCCAGGAGGUUAUGACCCAGAGUUUAAGUAAUCUUGGCUGGCUUCUGAUUUGCAUAUAUAUGAUAAAGUAUGCUGCUGUUCGGACGGUGACUGCUGGGAAGCUGGACUCAUAAGGAAUAAAAAUUUGUUCAGCAACAGGACAACUCGACGAGGGUGACACUGGUCAUAGCACCCUCUUUCUACAGACCAGGAAACUGAGGCAGAAGAGAGAUUUAAACAACAUUUCAGUACAAUUGAAACUUAGAAGAAGAAAGAAAACCCUUUGAUUGCCACUGCAUAAUUUUAAGCUGAAUGCAUUGUACUGGAAGUUCUGGCCUGUGCAAUCUGAUAAGAAAAUAAAUUAAGGGUGUGAAGAUUGGAAAGGAAGCAGUACAGAUGUCUUCAUUCUUAGAUGACAUGGUUCCUGUGGAGAAAACCUGCUGGAAGGAUGGAAGAGCUG
This is a long non-coding RNA of Molossus molossus (Pallas's mastiff bat), 547 nucleotides long. RefSeq lists it as uncharacterized. The record is from RefSeq and is a predicted model, not a curated record. Lineage: Eukaryota; Metazoa; Chordata; Mammalia; Chiroptera; Molossidae. The transcript has 5 exons.